GAUGAACGCUGGCGGCGUGCUUAACACAUGCAAGUCGAACGAAGCACUUUAUUUGAUUUCCUUCGGGACUGAUUAUUUUGUGACUGAGUGGCGGACGGGUGAGUAACGCGUGGGUAACCUGCCUUGUACAGGGGGAUAACAGUUGGAAACGGCUGCUAAUACCGCAUAAGCGCACAGCAUCGCAUGAUGCAGUGUGAAAAACUCCGGUGGUAUAAGAUGGACCCGCGUUGGAUUAGCUAGUUGGUGAGGUAACGGCCCACCAAGGCGACGAUCCAUAGCCGACCUGUGAGGGUGACCGGCCACAUUGGGACUGAGACACGGCCCAAACUCCUACGGGAGGCAGCAGUGGGGAAUAUUGCACAAUGGGCGAAAGCCUGAUGCAGCGACGCCGCGUGAGCGAAGAAGUAUUUCGGUAUGUAAAGCUCUAUCAGCAGGGAAGAUAAUGACGGUACCUGACUAAGAAGCACCGGCUAAAUACGUG
RNAcentral lists this ribosomal RNA (481 nucleotides) under uncultured bacterium. RNAcentral describes it as "partial 16S ribosomal RNA". It matches the Rfam family "Bacterial small subunit ribosomal RNA", at positions 28 to 507 of the family's 1533-position model. The record is from RNAcentral.